RNAcentral lists this long non-coding RNA (217 nucleotides) under Mytilus galloprovincialis (Mediterranean mussel). The record is from RNAcentral. Lineage: Eukaryota; Metazoa; Mollusca; Bivalvia; Mytilida; Mytilidae.
GAUAUAUAAAUUAGAUCGUUGUUUUCCUGUUCGAAUUGUGUACGCUAAUAAUUUUGGGGUCCUUUAUAGCCUGCUGUUUGGUCUGUAUCACAGCCCUGUGUAAAAGACUGUACUUUGACCUGUGUUUGUUAUUAUCAGGUUGAGAACAACCCUCCCUCAGACAAGGGGUCAUUUUACUGAUGUAGAAAAGAAAAUAGAAAUACCAAGGAUUUGUAUA